AUGUUGCAGGCUGAAUUGAGGAAUAGAGAUGCCCGAAACUCUGACUUGCAAGAGAAUGUGAAGUCACAACAAGCAGAAGCUGCAAAGGCCAAAGAGGAGCUGACCCAAGCCCUGGCCGUAAUGGAAAAGCUGAAAGAAUCUUUCAACAAAGAUCGUGCUGACUGGGAAACCAAAAAAUCCGGUUUAACCAAAAGAGCUGAAGAUGCUGAGGCAGCCCUGAAACCAAUUGUAGAUGAACUAGCUGGCUUGAGGCAGCAGAUCAACGCUAUGACUUCUGCUAUCUUUGGUAAAUACCUCCUUAUGUGUUUUGCGCAAUUCAAUGAACCUUAUCAUUGGCCAGAAUUUUGA
RNAcentral lists this ribosomal RNA (348 nucleotides) under Triticum aestivum (bread wheat). RNAcentral's name for it is "partial small subunit ribosomal RNA". The record is from RNAcentral. Lineage: Eukaryota; Viridiplantae; Streptophyta; Magnoliopsida; Poales; Poaceae.